This 331-nucleotide ribosomal RNA is filed under the name uncultured bacterium. RNAcentral's name for it is "bacterial SSU rRNA". It matches the Rfam family "Bacterial small subunit ribosomal RNA", at positions 568 to 898 of the family's 1533-position model. The record is from RNAcentral.
UGCGUAGACGGUUUUCUAAGUCGGAUGUGAAAUCCCCGGGCUCAACCUGGGAAUUGCAUUCGAGACUGGAAGGCUAGGGUGCGGAAGAGGGAAGCGGAAUUUCUGGUGUAGCGGUGAAAUGCGUAGAUAUCAGAAGGAACAUCAGUGGCGAAAGCGGCUUCCUGGUCCAGCACCGACGUUCAGGCACGAAAGCGUGGGGAGCAAACAGGAUUAGAUACCCUGGUAGUCCACGCCAUAAACGAUGAGAACUAGACGUUGAGAGGGUUAGCCUCCCAGUGUCGAAGCUAACGCGAUAAGUUCUCCGCCUGGGGAGUACGGCCGCAAGGUUGAA